UGGGGAAUAUUGCACAAUGGGCGCAAGCCUGAUGCAGCCAUGCCGCGUGUAUGAAGAAGGCCUUCGGGUUGUACAGUACUUUCAGCGAGGAGGAAGGCGGUAAGGUUAAUAACCUUAUCGAUUGACGUUACUCGCAGAAGAAGCACCGGCUAACUCCGUGCCAGCAGCCGCGGUCAUACGGAGGGUGCAAGCGUUAAUCGGAAUUACUGGGCGUAAAGCGCACGCAGGCGGUCUGUCAAGUCGGAUGUGAAAUCCCCGGGCUCAACCUGGGAACUGCAUUCGAAACUGGCAGGCUAGAGUCUUGUAGAGGGGGGUAGAAUUCCAGGUGUAGCGGUGAAAUGCGUAGAGAUCUGGAGGAAUACCGGUGGCGAAGGCGGCCCCCUGGACAAAGACUGACGCUCAGGUGCGAAAGCGUGGGGAGCAAACA
RNAcentral lists this ribosomal RNA (427 nucleotides) under uncultured bacterium. Its description in RNAcentral is "partial 16S ribosomal RNA". It matches the Rfam family "Bacterial small subunit ribosomal RNA", at positions 355 to 774 of the family's 1533-position model. The record is from RNAcentral.